This 79-nucleotide transfer RNA is filed under the name Gammaproteobacteria bacterium. RNAcentral's name for it is "tRNA-Arg". It matches the Rfam family "tRNA". Rfam says of the family: Transfer RNA (tRNA) molecules are approximately 80 nucleotides in length. Their secondary structure includes four short double-helical elements and three loops (D, anti-codon, and T loops). Lineage: Bacteria; Pseudomonadati; Pseudomonadota; Gammaproteobacteria. The record is from RNAcentral.
UUCGUAGACUCAAGUGUGCUUUUGAGUACCUGGCUUCGAACCAGGUGGUCGGGAGUUCGAAUCUCCCCGGGGCGCACCA